This 609-nucleotide ribosomal RNA is filed under the name uncultured Candidatus Poseidoniales archaeon. RNAcentral's name for it is "bacterial SSU rRNA". It matches the Rfam family "Archaeal small subunit ribosomal RNA", at positions 1 to 617 of the family's 1478-position model. Lineage: Archaea; Methanobacteriati; Thermoplasmatota; Candidatus Poseidoniia; Candidatus Poseidoniales. The record is from RNAcentral.
ACCUGGUUGAUCCUGCCAGAGGCGACCGCUAUUGGAGUUCGAUUAAGCCAUGCGAGUCGAGAGUCUUAGGGACUCGGCAUACUGCUCAGUAACACGUGGAUAACCUGCCCUGUACUGGAGAAUAACCUCGGGAAACUGAGAAUAAUACUCCAUAGACCACAAUGCCUGGAACGGUUUGUGGUUCAAAGCUCCGGCGGUACAGGAUGGGUCUGCGGCGUAUCAGGUUGUAGGGGGUGUAAAGGACCUCCUAGCCAUUGACGCGUACGGGUUGUGGGAGCAAUAGCCCGGAGAUGGAUUCUGAGACACGAAUCCAGACCCUACGGGGUGCAGCAGGCGCGAAAACUUCACACUGCGGGAAACCGUGAUGAGGGAACUCCAAGUGUUAGCACAAUGUGCUAUCUUUUCUUGACUUUUAAUAGGUCUUGGAAUAAGGGGCGGGAAAGACCGGUGCCAGCCGCCGCGGUAAUACCGGCGCCUCAAGUGGUCGUCGCUUUUAUUGGGCCUAAAACGUCCGUAGCCUGUUUGGUAAACCCGUGGGUAAAUCAACGAGCUCAACUCAUUGACUUCUGCGGAGACUGCCAGACUAGGGACCGGGAGAGGUGUAGGGUA